Non-coding RNA from Triticum aestivum (bread wheat), 135 nucleotides. NCBI's taxonomy places the organism in Eukaryota, Viridiplantae, Streptophyta, Magnoliopsida, Poales, Poaceae. The record is from Rfam.
CAAAUACUCCCGCAGUCCCAAAAUUCUUGUCUUAAAUUUGUCUAGAUACAGAUGUAUCUAAUACUAAAACGUGACUUGAUACAUUCGUAUCUAGACAAAUCCAAAACAAGUAUUUUGGGACGAAAGGAGUAUAAG